UCUUCAUUUCCCGUGCUCUCUCACCGUUCAGAGAGGCGAGAGAGUGUGCGAAAUGAAGAGA
Non-coding RNA from Pristionchus pacificus, 61 nucleotides. The record is from Rfam. Lineage: Eukaryota; Metazoa; Nematoda; Chromadorea; Rhabditida; Neodiplogasteridae.